GGUAACUUCACGUUAAAUUUUAUAGCUCAUUUCUUUUAAUUAAUUUUCCAUUAAUUUUGCCCGCAAUGUCGUGAUAUUUUUUUCGUUUUCGCUUGCAUUUAGUGAAGCGUAUCGGUUGUUAAUUAAUUCGAUUCUGGAUUUCGUGAUUUUUUAUUCAUUUCGAGUGGAAGAAGUUGGCGGCGAUUCGGCCAUGUGAUUUACUGUGUUGUUCGCCUCUCACAUCCAAUCAGGCAUCCUAUUGCGAUACCUACUCGUACAUUCCUUCUGCACUGUGUAUUGAAAUCACACCUCACAAGGAAAUCCUGUGUCGCUGUCGUAUGAUACGAGAUUUGACCACUUGACCCUUUGAGAAUCAGGUGCUUAUCGGCGAUACUUAUAUUUUUGCCGCUGCUGUAUUAAGUAUAAUCAAACCUCACGAACGAGAGAUCCUUUUUCGCUGUUCUGUGAUAAUUUAGCCACAAAAUUCUCCAUGAACCAGGGUCCACAACAUGGGAAAUCAAUUCGUACAACCCGAACUCCAAAAUAUCACUUCUGUAUAGAGAAUAGAUGCGGACAAUAAUUAUCAUCUGAAUCAAUUUGAAAAUCGAGUACAAAAUUAUAUUC
This is a long non-coding RNA of Planococcus citri (citrus mealybug), 603 nucleotides long. RefSeq lists it as uncharacterized. The transcript is spliced from 4 exons. Lineage: Eukaryota; Metazoa; Arthropoda; Insecta; Hemiptera; Pseudococcidae. The record is from RefSeq and is a predicted model, not a curated record.